GUCUCCGUAGUAUAUUUAAUACACUGGUCUUGUAAAUCAACAAAGGAGCUUUAACCCUCCCUGAGACU
RNAcentral lists this transfer RNA (68 nucleotides) under Smutsia gigantea (giant pangolin). RNAcentral describes it as "Manis gigantea (giant pangolin) tRNA-Thr". It matches the Rfam family "tRNA". From Rfam's summary of the family: Transfer RNA (tRNA) molecules are approximately 80 nucleotides in length. Their secondary structure includes four short double-helical elements and three loops (D, anti-codon, and T loops). Further hydrogen bonds mediate the characteristic L-shaped molecular structure. tRNAs have two regions of fundamental functional importance: the anti-codon, which is responsible for specific mRNA codon recognition, and the 3' end, to which the tRNAs corresponding amino acid is attached (by aminoacyl-tRNA synthetases). tRNAs cope with the degeneracy of the genetic code in two manners: having more than one tRNA (with a specific anti-codon) for a particular amino acid; and 'wobble' base-pairing, i.e. permitting non-standard base-pairing at the 3rd anti-codon position. Lineage: Eukaryota; Metazoa; Chordata; Mammalia; Pholidota; Manidae. The record is from RNAcentral.